GACGAACGCUGGCGGCGUGCUUAACACAUGCAAGUCGAACGGAAAGGCCCUGCUUUUGUGGGGUGCUCGAGUGGCGAACGGGUGAGUAACACGUGAGUAACCUGCCCUUGACUUUGGGAUAACUUCAGGAAACUGGGGCUAAUACCGGAUAGGAGCUCCUGCUGCAUGGUGGGGGUUGGAAAGUUUCGGCGGUUGGGGAUGGACUCGCGGCUUAUCAGCUUGUUGGUGGGGUAGUGGCUUACCAAGGCUUUGACGGGUAGCCGGCCUGAGAGGGUGACCGGCCACAUUGGGACUGAGAUACGGCCCAGACUCCUACGGGAGGCAGCAGUGGGGAAUAUUGCACAAUGGGCGGAAGCCUGAUGCAGUAACGCCGCGUGCGGGAUGACGGCCUUCGGGUUGUAAACCGCUUUCGCCUGUGACGAAGCGUGAGUGACGGUAAUGGGUAAAGAAGCACCGGCUAACUACGUG
Molecule: ribosomal RNA, 468 nt
Filed under: uncultured bacterium
Lineage: Bacteria
Description: partial 16S ribosomal RNA
Rfam family: Bacterial small subunit ribosomal RNA
Source: RNAcentral